UACGUAGGUGGCAAGCGUUGUCCGGAAUUAUUGGGCGUAAAGCGCGCGCAGGUGGUUCCUUAAGUCUGAUGUGAAAGCCCCCGGCUCAACCGGGGAGGGUCAUUGGAAACUGGGGAGCUUGAGUGCAGAAGAGGAUAGUGGAAUUCCACGUGUAGCGGUGAAAUGCGUAGAGAUUUGGAGGAACACCAGUGGCGAAGGCGACUGUCUGGUCUGUAACUGACACUGAGGCGCGAAAGCGUGGGGAGCAAACAGG
Molecule: ribosomal RNA, 253 nt
Filed under: uncultured microorganism
Description: partial 16S ribosomal RNA
Rfam family: Bacterial small subunit ribosomal RNA
Source: RNAcentral